Long non-coding RNA from Seriola aureovittata, 1725 nucleotides. RefSeq lists it as uncharacterized. Lineage: Eukaryota; Metazoa; Chordata; Actinopteri; Carangiformes; Carangidae. The transcript has 3 exons. The record is from RefSeq and is a predicted model, not a curated record.
CCCACUGCAACCUGGUUCUGAGGACCUAUAUUUUCACCAUGCACCGGGCCCUGACAUUCAGAACAAAUCUCGAGUUGUUUGUGGUGAACCAGCUCAUCCUUUCUAAAUGGCACAGCCACCCAGGAGAGGACCACACUGUAUGCUGUUGGAAAUGGCUGUAGGAAAAGCAGGCGGAGGCUGAAAAUAGGACUGGCCACAGACAGCAGAGAAAGUUGUCGAUCCUCUCACACUGACAAGUGUCUGAAGCCUUCUUUAGGACACCCACAAGACUUUUUAGAAAAUUAUAUUAAAAUCAGCUGUAAGGGUGCUGAUAUGCACAACACAGACACAUUACUGAACUGGUUUGUAAACGCAAUAAUGCCACAUUGUAUGUGCAUAUUGGACACGCGUGUAAAGCCACCAUACCAUAACAACAAACAGGUUUGAAUGGAAAGCAGCUGUAAGAACAAUCAUAUUGAAGUGAUGUUUAGCUGACAUGGCUCAACUAUCAACAUAAUAUCUUUAGUAUUUGUUUCUUUUAAAGAAAAGGAAUUUUGGUCGGAAUUUCUUUUAUUUCAUUAUUUCUUUUAUCAAGCAAGUUGGGUGUUUUUAUAUCCUAGUGGGGAAUCUAAACCUGAAUACACAAUAAUAGGGACUCACCAUCACGUGUGUGCCAAAGUUGAGGUCCCCACAGGUUUUUGAGGGUUAAGACUUGGUUGCUAGGGAUCAGGUUAGAAUUAUGUUUAGGUUAGGGUAAGGGGCAAGGGAAUGCAUUAGUUCAAUGAGUUGCCCCCAUGGGGAUCUAGAAACGUGUGUAUGUGUGUGCUCUGUUUAUAUUUUUCAGGUCAGUGGAGCUGUCUGAUUCUUGUGUUAUUGAUUCCUGGUUUCUUUAUGAUUGAUGCAUUGUUCACCAUAACAAAAAUAUUUUGUGUUUUAUAAAUGCUCUUAUAUUCCCUUAAUCCAUUAUGUAUUUUUAUUUGAUUGCAAUCAUUAGUGAAAAAGUCCCAUUGCUCCAUCAAAGCACUUUGGUUAGUGUUGGAUGUUUUUACUCUCAUUGGUGUGAAUUUGGUAGACAGAAAAAUUGGAACAUCUGUCAACAUAAUGCAAUACAGCUCAACAAAACCACAGAAUACAUCCUCCAAAAUGAUCACACAGUUGAAUCAACAUGUCUUUAACAGCAAAAUUUCAACAUGACUGUUGAAUUAGACUGUAUUAGUUUUAACUAGGUGUUCGUAUUAUAAUUUGUUCUAUAAUAACACACUACGCCCAUUUAUUUGAUGGAACUAAGAAAAACUGUUUCACCCUGAUGGUAGAAACAGUGUUUGUAGCUGGAAGUCUACACUGAUUAAGUCCACCCUGUGAAAUUGAAAGCUGAAAUGUCAGCCCUGUUGGCACUGUCAAAUAUACACUCUCAGAUAUUUGGACUUUUACAUUCUGUGUUGCCUUGAUAUCAACUUCUGUUUCUGUUGCUCUUCUUAAAAUGGUCUGUUUACAAUUACAUUAUUUAUACACUGUUUUUUCAAACACUUUCCUUUCAUUGAUCAGUGAGUUCACACUUGAUUAAAUAGCAUUUGCACCUCUUUCUUUUCUUCUUUUUUUUUUUUCAUAAUGCCUCACAUUUGAUUUGAAUACAAGUGUCUGUUAGCAGGUGUCAGCGAGUAAGCUACAUGGCAUGGUGUAAUUUUUAGCCUUGUGUAAAGCCGUAGCUAGUGGGAAUGUGGAGUAAUUGCAAAUGCAACAGUUGUA